This 727-nucleotide long non-coding RNA is filed under the name Capra hircus (goat). RNAcentral's name for it is "lncRNA (ENSCHIG00010023865.1)". The record is from RNAcentral. Lineage: Eukaryota; Metazoa; Chordata; Mammalia; Artiodactyla; Bovidae.
GCUUCCUUCCGCAUGACCUUGUCACGGGCGGGAUUCCUCACGCUGGCCCCGGGCAGCAGAGAGUCGGAUACAGCUGAGCAACUAAACACAAGCACCUCAAGAGCAGACUCUUCUCGGCAUCUCAUCAGCGGGUUGCAAGUUGACAGCCAUCCUCGUCUCGGUCCAGGAUACAGCUAAGUUUUUAUCCAAAAAUACAGCUAAGGUUCCUUCCCCCCAGCCUUGCUCUUCAUUGGCUUUUGAGCAGCGAGCCGCCAGACCCCCACUGUCACGAGCUAUGAACCUGCACCUGGGUGUCGAUGAGAGUCAUCACACUUUCCUGAGUAACGCACGUGUGAGUUUGUGAAAAGACAUUUUAAACUGCAGGCACUGUGUCCACACGAGAGGGUUCAAGUGCUUCAUCAGUAGACAGCUGAGCUCGUGUUUUUUUUUAAUUUUCUAAUUGAAGGAUCAUUGCUUUACAGAACUUGGCUGUUUACUGUCAAAUCUCAGCACGAAUCAGCCAUAGGUAUACAUAUGUCCCCUCCCUCUUGAAACCCCCUCCCACCUCCCUCCCCAUCCCACCCCUCUAGGUUGAUACAGAGCCNNNNNNNGAGUUUCCAGGAGACAUAGAGCAGAGACAGCUGGGCAUUUUGAAGGCAUUUCUCGAACAUUCACCUCUCUCAGUCUGUGAAUGAAUUUGGCAACACAAGAGCACUUCCAGACAUGGUGAGCAUGUUCAUGGAGAAGG